CUUUACUGCAGCUUCGCCUUGGCGUUAGCGACAACAUGUGUAGGAUAGGUGGGAGGCUAUGAAACCGGGGCGCCAGCUCUGGCGGAGCCAACCUUGAAAUACCACCCUUGUUGUCGUUGACGUCUAACCGAGGUCCGUUAUCCGGAUCCGGGACAUGGCGUGGCGGGCAGUUUGACUGGGGCGGUCGCCUCCCAAAGUGUAACGGAGGCGCGCGAUGAUGGGCUCAGACCGGUCGGAAAUCGGUCGUCGAGUGCAAUGGCAUAAGCCCGCCUGACUGUGAGACUGACAAGUCGAACAGAGACGAAAGUCGGCCAUAGUGAUCCGGUGGUUCUGUAUGGAAGGGCCAUCGCUCAACGGAUAAAAGGUA
RNAcentral lists this ribosomal RNA (367 nucleotides) under uncultured organism. Its description in RNAcentral is "bacterial LSU rRNA". It matches the Rfam family "Bacterial large subunit ribosomal RNA", at positions 2099 to 2465 of the family's 2925-position model. The record is from RNAcentral.